GAAAUCCAGACAAAUUUUCUUCAUUUUUUAAUGUCACUCCUCAUCUCUUGUUUUAAUCACAGAUUAGGCGGUAUAAAAUUUAGUCCUUAAAUGCAGAAAAGCAAAAUACCUACUGCACUUUUCUCUCACUCCAUACAUUGAUUUCUGUUUCAAAUUCCAUUCUUGCCAAGCCUCCCCCACUUUUCCCUGAGCUGCAUCAAAUCCUCACCAUCAUCUAGCCCCAGCGGCAUCGGCUGAGACCUUCAUCCUGAUUGUUCCUUAGGUGCUGUUUAGUGCCAGCCACUGAAGAAAACCCCCUUGUUUCCACCCACGUGGCCCCAUCUGGUUUCAGGGCCUCCUCUGUGCUAUUUUGGGGUGUGAGGAGAUCAUUUUUCAACGCCCACAGUGUGCGGGGGCUGGGAACUCUGCAUCCUCCCCAAUACUUUUCGUGCUGCUAUUUCUUCUCAGGGUCUUGCCUCCUUUCCCAAGCUCAGCCUAUGGAGUAAAGCGCAGACCCAUCGCUCGGAGACAAGGUCCAUUAUAUUGCCCAGGCUGGUCUCAAACUCCUGGGCUCAAGUGAUCCUCCCACCUUGGCCUCCCAAAAUGCCGGAAUUACAGUUAUUGCUUGAUGGAUUCUGCUAACUCCCAGGAGAAUCCAAGUGG
Long non-coding RNA from Rhinopithecus roxellana (golden snub-nosed monkey), 642 nucleotides. RefSeq lists it as uncharacterized. Lineage: Eukaryota; Metazoa; Chordata; Mammalia; Primates; Cercopithecidae. The record is from RefSeq and is a predicted model, not a curated record. The transcript has 3 exons.